Ictidomys tridecemlineatus (thirteen-lined ground squirrel) is the source of this 46-nucleotide non-coding RNA. The record is from Rfam. Lineage: Eukaryota; Metazoa; Chordata; Mammalia; Rodentia; Sciuridae.
CCAAAGGCUCUUUUCAGAGCCAUCCACAUUUACACUUAAAGAGCUU